RNAcentral lists this ribosomal RNA (253 nucleotides) under uncultured bacterium. RNAcentral describes it as "partial 16S ribosomal RNA". It matches the Rfam family "Bacterial small subunit ribosomal RNA", at positions 524 to 776 of the family's 1533-position model. The record is from RNAcentral.
UACGAAGGGUGCUAGCGUUGUUCGGAAUCACUGGGCGUAAAGCGCACGUAGGCGGAUCUUUAAGUCAGGGGUGAAAUCCCGAGGCUCAACCUCGGAACUGCCUUUGAUACUGGGGAUCUCGAGUCCGGGAGAGGUGAGUGGAACUGCGAGUGUAGAGGUGAAAUUCGUAGAUAUUCGCAAGAACACCAGUGGCGAAGGCGGCUCACUGGCCCGGAACUGACGCUGAGGUGCGAAAGCGUGGGGAGCAAACAGG